RNAcentral lists this ribosomal RNA (253 nucleotides) under uncultured bacterium. RNAcentral's name for it is "partial 16S ribosomal RNA". It matches the Rfam family "Bacterial small subunit ribosomal RNA", at positions 524 to 776 of the family's 1533-position model. The record is from RNAcentral.
UACGGAGGGUGCGAGCGUUGCUCGGAAUCACUGGGCGUAAAGCGUACGCAGGCGGUUUGUUAAGUCGGGUGUGAAAGCCCAGGGCUCAACCCUGGAACUGCAUUCGAUACUGGCAGACUUGAGUACGGGAGAGGAAAGCGGAAUUCCUGGUGUAGAGGUGAAAUUCGUAGAUAUCAGGAGGAACACUCGUGGCGAAAGCGGCUUUCUGGCCCGAUACUGACGCUCAUGUACGAAAGCGUGGGGAGCAAACAGG